GACGAACGCUGGCGGCGUGCUUAACACAUGCAAGUCGAACGGUGAAGCUCCAGCUUGCUGGAGUGGAUCAGUGGCGAACGGGUGAGUAACACGUGAGCAACCUGCCCCUGACUCUGGAAUAAGCGCUGGAAACGGCGUCUAAUACUGGAUACGAGAAGGGUCCGCAUGGGCACUUUCUGGAAGGUUUUUCGGUUGGGGAUGGGCUCGCGGCCUAUCAGCUUGUUGGUGAGGUAAUGGCUCACCAAGGCGACGACGGGUAGCCGGCCUGAGAGGGCGACCGGCCACACUGGGACUGAGACACGGCCCAGACUCCUACGGGAGGCAGCAGUGGGGAAUAUUGCACAAUGGGCGAAAGCCUGAUGCAGCGACGCCGCGUGAGGGAUGACGGCCUUCGGGUUGUAAACCUCUUUCAGCAGGGAAGAAGCGAAAGUGACGGUACCUGCAGAAGAAGCACCGGCUAACUACGUG
RNAcentral lists this ribosomal RNA (468 nucleotides) under uncultured bacterium. RNAcentral's name for it is "partial 16S ribosomal RNA". It matches the Rfam family "Bacterial small subunit ribosomal RNA", at positions 28 to 507 of the family's 1533-position model. The record is from RNAcentral.